Molecule: transfer RNA, 72 nt
Filed under: Dipodomys ordii (Ord's kangaroo rat)
Lineage: Eukaryota; Metazoa; Chordata; Mammalia; Rodentia; Heteromyidae
Rfam family: tRNA
About the family: Transfer RNA (tRNA) molecules are approximately 80 nucleotides in length.
Source: Rfam by way of RNAcentral
GUGAAUGUGGCUUAGUGGUAGAGUGCUUGCCUUGCAAACAUGAAGUCCUGGGUUUGAUUCCAGAAUUCCACA